AGCCCGCAGCCGGGUCCUUCUGGCCCGGGGGCCGCGGGGCGGGGAGCGCCGGCACAGCCCAGGGCCCCGGAGCGGCUUCCACGCGGGGAGCCUCGGCUGCUCUCAGAUUGUGUCUUGGGAGAAAUCCGGAUACAUUCAGAGAAGCUGAGAAACGAACACGCCCCAUUGUAAAUAUCAGGACCUUCUGUGAGUGAUCCGGGGCCCACUGCUGAGUCAGAUUAGACCCCAGCACAAGGUUAAAAAAAAAAAAACCAAAACAGCCUCCAAUACCAUCUUCAUGGGAACCAGUGCUCCAUGCAGCACACACUUUCAAGUCUCCUUUGGCUGCUGUGGGAAGGCGCUGUCUGCAGGAGCAUGCUGCCUUGUGUCAUGUCAGGGAUGUUGCUGCAGAUCUUUGUGAACUUUUUCCACUGGGUAGAAAACAUCUGAUGACAAAUUACAUGAACAUUGAAUCUAUGGAUAGAAUAUACAUUGAUUCCAUCUUAUGGGAAUUAAAUAUUGCAUAUAUGUGCAUUAGACACGAUUCUGUCCCACCAGUUCAUUGACUUGAAAGAGAGGUCCACAGCCUCUGUGUGAUAACUGAAAGGCUUGCCACCUGUAUUGAUCAAAGAAGAAAUUUUGCUAGUGCAUUAAAUGAAGAUUAUGUUCAAGCACAUGGGGCAUAAGGGGAUGGUGAGGGUGGUGCACUUGCCACCUGCCCUGAGUCUGCAGGCACCAUCUCCAGCUGUAGGCUGCAUGACCUAUAGCUUCUAGGUCCCCAGAUACCCGGGGAGGGUUCCAGAACCUUUGUGCUUGUGAAUCCUUCCAAAAAACGGCGGCCCUACAGACUCAUUCCAGUGAUCAGCUCCAGUGGUAUGAGAUUCUGUGGCAGUGUCAGUUGUUCUGUCAUCAAACAUUCUGCAAGGGAAUAAAGCACACCGCUGACCCUACCAGUCACCCCAGAUCUACAGGAAUUGUGGCAUCUGCUCUCUGAAAUCCUGGCAUAUUCCUAUCCUGGAGCAACUCACAGACACUUGUUCAUCAACCUAAGCAGGCCCAUGAGAGAAGAGCAGAGCCAAGCACCUCUGCCCCUGCCGCAGGGCUCUGCCUGAAGCUUGCUAUUGCCUUGGCUCCAAGGACACCAUCCCGUAUCUAUUUAGGAUCUUCCUGGGCAGGAUGAGUAAUCAAUGCAGAAUCAGAAUGGUUAGGAAAGGAAAAAUCAAUGUAUUACCUUAUGCAGUAUGGGCUUUAUGGUAACAUGGAAGUUCAUUGGGUGAAAAUUCCCUUGACAGAGAUGAUGCUACAUGUUGUGCUGAAGGGGGCCCCUUAAACAUAGGCACCCCAGUAACUUCAUUCCUGCAAAAAAAAAAGUUAGUUUAGGAAGUCAUAAUAAAGGACCCCAAACAAAUCCAUGCUGUUUACCCCUGAUUAGUAAUUCAAAACGCCUCAGGUAGAGACUAACAUGAAAAACCUCUCUAGUAAAUGCCGAGGAAAGACUCUAGAUAUGUUUGAAGCUAAAGACUAACAGAAGAUCCUGGUUGCCCAGGUUCUAGCCCUGCAGCUGAUUGAAGGCUUUUUGGCACUAGAGGGAUGACAUGGUCAGGAGCGCACUAGAGAGGUGCCCAGGACUUACUAUGCAGGAGUUCCAUGACCUGGAUACAAACGCCAUCGAGGAGGCCCUGACACAGGCUCCAAGUAGAAUGGGGGAAUGUAAAACUGUCGGCAUUGCUGAGAUUGUCAAAGUUGCAGCAGGUGUUAUGUAAAAAGUGUGUAUUUUUCCUGAUUGUGUUAGGAGGAUGGAAAUUGUGCUUGGCGACCAGUUCCCCAAGCCCGCAUGUUGAAAGAUAAGGCCUGUAAAUCCAGUCCUCAAGAAUUGUUAGUAGGUUGUUUAAUGGGAAGCCCUCAGAUGGCCCGAGCACCACAGUGUGGAGCAGACGCUGGACAGACAAGUGCUGUGUGCAGAGUUCGCGCACGGCACGGACAGGGGACAAUGCAGGAGCCCAUGAGUGUGUCCCGGUGAACACACCAGGGCUCUGGACAGCAGCCUCGACACACCAUGGGCAGGGCAGUGCCCAGCAGAGUUCACCGCAAGUGAAAUGGUCCCUAGAGGCUGGCGCAGCCCGGGGAAAAACCUGAGGAACUCAGGAGGCGGUGCCUCUGGGCCCAGGACUGGCUCUUGCCCCUAGGACAGGGCUCUGUAACGGCUCUCGACUCACCCGCAGAGACACCCGCUUGGUGCUGAGAAGAAGGGACACCCAGGGGUGGGAAGGCCACCACUCUGGGGGAGGAAGUGAAACUCAAAUCCGUGCUCUGGCUGAGUCGCAGCCUGUUUCCCACAGUGAUAGAAGAAUUGAACAGCUGAAAGACCCGCGCUUGGGUUUUACUGACUCCUGGUCGGUGACCCAUGGCCCGAACAUAUGGCAGCAUAGGGCCGGGAAUCCUGGGCUGUUUGGGGUGCCUGUGUGGGGCACGGCCUGAGAAGCCUGCGCUGGUCCACACCCACCUCCAGACAACAGUAAAUGUAACAUUCACACAAACAUGUCACUCUGAGCCGCCGCUCUCGUCCUUCAUGGCAUUGAUGAGGGAAGUUGUCGUUUCAGUCAGAGUGUUUUUGUCUUUUUUUUCCUCCUCUGUGAAGCAUGUCAGUGUACCGCAGGCCCCUCCAGUCUCUUCUUUGUUUCUCUGGAGACUGUGUUCCGUGUGCGUGCACACAUACUGGGGUGGGAGCACAGAAAGGGGAGCGCUGAUGGCAGGAGGCCAUCCUUUCCCUCCCCAGUGUAAAGGCCCUUGCAGACUUUGGGGCUUUUUCACAGUCCCACAGCUUCCUUGCUCCUUAGGGCUUCCUUGCUCCUCAGGCCUCUCAGUUCUGAGUCUGUGUAGUGAGCACCUGCAUCCUGUGAUUGCAAGGCAGAGAUGACAGUGAUAUUAAGGAAGUAAUGAUUGCAUGGGAGGUGGAUGCAUUCAGCACGACAGCUGAGCGUCGAUGCCUUCACAUGCUUAACGCUGAUCAAUACUAUAUAUAAAGAAACAAACUUGGAGCCAUCCAGGUGUGGGUGAGAAUCAGAAUCAGGUGCUGUGGAGGGUGAGGUGCAGGUAUGUCAGGCACAAAGGCAGGUGUGUGGUGUGUACACUGUGUUUCUUCUGUUUCCCUACUUGCUGCAGUGGUCAUAAGCCCCAGGCUGUAACAAGAGGUGGAGGUGAAACGGUAAUUUUUGGUCUGACUCCUUGAUGUUCAUAAUCCAUAAUUCAAGAGCAAGCAAUGUUUUGCAGAACUCAGGUUAAAUCAGGUCUGGGAAACCCGAUAUCAGGGCACACCCUGUCACAAAGGCCACCUCCCCAAAUUGGGGAGAAGCCGGGACUGUUUGGGGGAAUACUAAGGAAGGAGAGUGGUUGAGACUCUGAGUCCAGAGUAUUUCAGGGAAAUGGUCAGGGCUUCCAGGACCUGCAUGCAUGCCCCCUUCUUUCCAUGUUUGGUCUUGACUGGCUCUGUCCUGGGGGAUGUUUUCACCAUGAGAGAGAGGUUGUGGAUUAAUCCGUGUCUGUCUUCUAGCUGCAUAUUGUUUCAGUCCAUGUGUCUGCUUUUCUGUUCUGGUUUUUUGUCCCUGCAAGCAAAGUUAAACAGGAGCAAAGAAACAGGACUACUAGGGCAAGGAGAAGAAACUUCUGGUACCAGAUGGGUGACAGAAGCACAAAACUGUAACUGCUUUUAACCUUAUGUGAAAGUGUUAAGGGCUGAUGGGGUGGAUGAGCCCUCUUCCUAGCUGGAAAGUUGGGCCUAAUUUUGAGUGUAGCUCUAUUGCCUUGAGGGAGGGAAACCCACAGCCUUACCUGUGCGAGCCAGGGGGGCUCGGGGAGGUAUGUGCUGGACUAGCGAUGUCGCCUGCGGUCCAGACCAGCACAGGCUGCGCCCACUGUCCCUCCAGCAGGGUGUCUGGGUAUAAAGGGAGAUUGAAGCCCUGGCCAACCCACCUGUGGGCAAGAGCAGCUGCGUGUGCUGAGCUGUCUUCUGAGCUUGUUUACAUUGAGGCCACAGUUUGUGAUGCUCAGCUGCGAGUCCUCCUGCCUGAACCAAGUGUCCAUGAUAUGGGGACCAACAAGACAGGACAGGAACCACCCAUCCUGCAUUCAGAGCAAAGGGACCAUCCAUCAGGAAUCUCCAGUCAUUUGAGAAGACUCUUCCCCAGGUGGAUUUGGAACUCUUGGAGCCCCUGUCCACGCAACAAGGACCUCCUGCCACACACGCAGCUCUGUGCCCACUGUCCACUUUCCACCCAGCGUGAUUCAACUCUGUCUCCAGAGGUGCUUCCAUAAUGUGAUUCAAGAGCCUUCCCGCCUCCGCAGAGGUAGAUCUGGUCUUGGGCUUCCUACCACUGCAGACCUGCUUCCACAAAGACCUUUCUUUUCCUGAAACCCAGUUGGCAAUCUUUGGCAUUUACGCCAAUCAGGUAGAGGGGCUCCUGAUAUCUGAGAAACAAAAGAAGGAAAAAUCGUAGCUAUGAAUUAAAAAAAAAAUAAUGAUGUCAUGAGAGAAGGUUUACAUUAAGUGAACACCUUGGAAGGGCAGGUGCUGAGAGUGUCUUUCAUCUCCAUUUUCCUGGGGGUGAGCAUCUGGGAGUAUCUGAGGAAGGUGGUGGAUUGUUUCUAAGUCAAUAUCCAGGUUGUGAUACAAACUAUAGUUCUUUAAGAUGUAGCCAUCGGGGAAGCUGGGUGAAGGAUAGCAGGGAUCGCUGCAUUAUUUCCGGAAACUGCACGUAGAACUGCCAUUCUCUUAAUAGUUCAAUUAAAUGAGACCAACCUGAUGGGCUUUCUCUGAGGAAUAAAUGUGGUCAUUUCUUAGGAAGAAAUUCAUUCAACAGAUGUGAAUUGACACGCCAGUGACCUUGUAAAUGUUGUGUUUUUAACAGUCAAUAACAGGCUUCAUGUUCUAAUGCAAUCUUUAAUGCUGAAAUGCCAUCCAAAAUGAGUUAUUUGUCAGUAUUGCCUUAGUAAUGGAUGUGAUUGUAUAUCUCUCGAACAACGCUGUUAACCAAUGUUACCUCUGUUAAAUGAAUGAGUGAAUAAACACACUGCUU
Molecule: long non-coding RNA, 5051 nt
Organism: Talpa occidentalis (Iberian mole)
Lineage: Eukaryota; Metazoa; Chordata; Mammalia; Eulipotyphla; Talpidae
Exons: 5
Source: RefSeq, a predicted model, not a curated record